This 331-nucleotide ribosomal RNA is filed under the name Paenibacillus sp. 7541. RNAcentral describes it as "Bacterial small subunit ribosomal RNA". It matches the Rfam family "Bacterial small subunit ribosomal RNA", at positions 846 to 1176 of the family's 1533-position model. Lineage: Bacteria; Bacillati; Bacillota; Bacilli; Caryophanales; Paenibacillaceae. The record is from Rfam by way of RNAcentral.
CCGAAGUUAACACAUUAAGCAUUCCGCCUGGGGAGUACGGUCGCAAGACUGAAACUCAAAGGAAUUGACGGGGACCCGCACAAGCAGUGGAGUAUGUGGUUUAAUUCGAAGCAACGCGAAGAACCUUACCAGGUCUUGACAUCCCUUUGACCCCUCUAGAGAUAGAGGUUUCCUUCGGGACAGAGGAGACAGGUGGUGCAUGGUUGUCGUCAGCUCGUGUCGUGAGAUGUUGGGUUAAGUCCCGCAACGAGCGCAACCCUUGAUCUUAGUUGCCAGCACGUAAUGGUGGGCACUCUAAGGUGACUGCCGGUGACAAACCGGAGGAAGGUGG